GACUAUAGUUAAGGUCCCUAAAUUUCGGUCAAGUGUUAAAUGCAAAUGGCGUCGGCAGUCCAAAACAACCGGGAGGUGGGCUUAGAAGCAGCCAUCCUUUAAAGAUAGCGUAACAGCUCACCGGUCUAGAUUGUGGGCCCAGAAAAUGGACGGGGCUAAACCGAAUACCGACACUAUAGAAUACAGCAAUGUAAUUUGGUAAGGGGGCGCGGUGCAUGGGCAGAAGUGGGGCCGUGAGGUCCUGUGGACCGUGUACCGACGAGGAUCCUGGUGAGAGUAGCAGCAUAGUACGGUGAGAAUCCGUACCGCCGCAGGGGCAAGGGUUCCUUGGCAAUGUUCGUCAGCCAAGGGUUAGUCGAUCCUAAGGUAGUUCUUAAUCGAAACUAUCGAAUGGGAAACUGGUUAAUAUUCCAGUACUGAAGCAGUCUUUGUCCAUACUUAAGGAGUAGGAUAUCUGGAGUACACUUGUCUGUGUAUUCAAGCGUUUAAAUUCAUGAAGAACCGUCAUGGUGAGAAGUGAACGAAUGCGUGAUAAGGAGAGCGAAAGUUCUCUUCUGGAAAGUCCUAGUCCCCGUGAAAAGGGUAUGGUUACAACUGUUUUAUUCGUACCAAGAACCGACACAGGUGUCCCUAGGUGAAAAGCCUAAGGCGUGAUAGCAUAAUCUAGGCGAGGGAACUCGGCAAAUUAGCUCUGUAACUUCGGGAUAAAGGGUGCCAGUAGUGUAAGCUACUGGUCGCAGUGACAAGAGAACUCCGACUGUUUAAUAAAAACAUAGGUCCCUGCUAAUUCGAAAGGACUUGUAUAGGGGCCGAAGCCUGCCCAGUGUUGGUAUCUGAACAUCUGUUUCAACGGAUCGAAGGACCAAUAAACGGCGGGGGUAACUAUGACCCUCUUAAGGUAGCGUAAUACCUUGUCGCUUAAUUGGCGACUCGCAUGAAGGCUCAACGUGGGUUCUACUGUCCCCGCCUAGACGCUAGUGAAAUCAAUCUGUCUGGUGCACAAUCCAGACCCCUCCAUCUGAAAGCGAAGACCCCAUGGAGUUUCACUGCAACCUGUUGUUGUUGUAGGAAUUGGCAUGUGUAGAGUAGACGGGAGACGUUACCCAGGAAGGUGCGCUAGCAUCUCUCCGAGUCACCGAUGAAACACCGUCCUUGCCGAUUUUUAUGACUUACCUCUUAGGAGGGACAGCUAUAGGCGGGCAGUUCGGGUGGGGCGCCACGCCCUCAAAAAGAUAACAAGGGCGCCCAAAGGUUAGCUCAGGUAGGUCAGAAAUCUACCUAAGAAUGUAAAGGUAAAAGCUAGCUUGACGCGGAACCAGAUAAUAGGGUUCGGCGAUAGGAAACUAGGGCUUAACGAACCAAUCAACCUCCUGAAUGGGGGUGAUUGAUGUCAGAAAAAUUACCCUGGGGAUAAUUGAGUUGUCACGAGCAAGAGUUCAUAUCGACCUCGUGGCUUGCUACUUCGCUGUCGGCUCUCCCUAUCCUGGUGGUGCAGCAGCUGCCAAGGGUGGGGUUGUUCGCCCAUUAAAAGGGAUCGUGAGCUGGGUUUAAAACGUCGCGAGACAGUUUUGUUGCUUUUUGAUGGAGGUGUAGGUGC
This 1597-nucleotide ribosomal RNA is filed under the name wastewater metagenome. Its description in RNAcentral is "bacterial LSU rRNA". It matches the Rfam family "Archaeal large subunit ribosomal RNA", at positions 1112 to 2729 of the family's 2987-position model. The record is from RNAcentral.